GAUGAACGCUGGCGGCGUGCCUAAUACAUGCAAGUCGAGCGAACAGACGAGGAGCUUGCUCCUCUGACGUUAGCGGCGGACGGGUGAGUAACACGUGGAUAACCUACCUAUAAGACUGGGAUAACUUCGGGAAACCGGAGCUAAUACCGGAUAAUAUAUUGAACCGCAUGGUUCAAUAGUGAAAGACGGUUUUGCUGUCACUUAUAGCUGGAUCCGCGCCGCAUUAGCUAGUUGGUCAGGUACCGGCGUACCCAGGCCACGAUGCGUAGCCGACCUGAGAGGGUGAUCGGCCACACUGGAACUGAGACACGGUCCAGACUCCUACGGGAGGCAGCAGUAGGGAAUCUUCCGCAAUGGGCGAAAGCCUGACGGAGCAACGCCGCGUGAGUGAUGAAGGUCUUCGGAUCGUAAAACUCUGUUAUUAGGGAAGAACAAAUGUGUAAGUAACUAUGCACGUCUUGACGGUACCUAAUCAGAAAGCCACGGCUAACUACGUG
Molecule: ribosomal RNA, 497 nt
Filed under: uncultured bacterium
Lineage: Bacteria
Description: partial 16S ribosomal RNA
Rfam family: Bacterial small subunit ribosomal RNA
Source: RNAcentral